UAAAAAUUAGUUAAAUUUAUAAUAUAAAUAUGUCAUAUUUAAGUUAUUUUAAAAAUAUUUUUAU
Molecule: transfer RNA, 64 nt
Filed under: Ooencyrtus plautus
Lineage: Eukaryota; Metazoa; Arthropoda; Insecta; Hymenoptera; Encyrtidae
Description: tRNA-Asp
Source: RNAcentral